GACGAACGCUGGCGGCGUGCUUAACACAUGCAAGUCGAACGCUGAAGACCUGGCUUUUGUUGGGUUGGAUGAGUGGCGAACGGGUGAGUAACACGUGAGUAACCUGCCCUCUUCUUUGGGAUAACGCCCGGAAACGGGUGCUAAUACUGGAUAUUCACUGGCCUUCGCAUGGGGGUUGGUGGAAAGGUUUGUUCUGGUGGGGGAUGGGCUCGCGGCCUAUCAGCUUGUUGGUGGGGUGAUGGCCUACCAAGGCUUUGACGGGUAGCCGGCCUGAGAGGGUGACCGGUCACAUUGGGACUGAGAUACGGCCCAGACUCCUACGGGAGGCAGCAGUGGGGAAUAUUGCACAAUGGGCGAAAGCCUGAUGCAGCGACGCCGCGUGAGGGAUGGGGGCCUUCGGGUUGUAAACCUCUUUCGCUCAUGGUCAAGCCGCAACUGUGGGUUGUGGUGAGGGUAGUGGGUAAAGAAGCGCCGGCUAACUACGUG
This 486-nucleotide ribosomal RNA is filed under the name uncultured bacterium. RNAcentral's name for it is "partial 16S ribosomal RNA". It matches the Rfam family "Bacterial small subunit ribosomal RNA", at positions 28 to 507 of the family's 1533-position model. The record is from RNAcentral.